GAUGAACGCUAGCGGGAGGCUUAACACAUGCAAGUCGAGGGGCAGCAUAGGGUAGCAAUACUCUGAUGGCGACCGGCAAACGGGUGAGUAACGCGUAUGCAACCUACCCUGUACAGGGGGAUAACCCGGAGAAAUUCGGACUAAUAUCCCGUAAUAAUAUCCGGAGGCAUCUUUGGAUAUUAAAGUUCCGACGGUACGGGAUGGGCAUGCGUAACAUUAGCUGGUUGGUAAGGUAACGGCUUACCAAGGCUAUGAUGUUUAGGGGUCCUGAGAGGGUGGUCCCCCACACUGGUACUGAGACACGGACCAGACUCCUACGGGAGGCAGCAGUGAGGAAUAUUGGUCAAUGGGCGCAAGCCUGAACCAGCCAUCCCGCGUGCAGGAAGACGGCCCUAUGGGUUGUAAACUGCUUUUCCAGGGAGAGAAACUUGCGCACGUGUUGCGCAAUUGACGGUACCCUGGGAAUAAGCAUCGGCUAACUCCGUG
This 486-nucleotide ribosomal RNA is filed under the name uncultured bacterium. RNAcentral describes it as "bacterial SSU rRNA". It matches the Rfam family "Bacterial small subunit ribosomal RNA", at positions 28 to 507 of the family's 1533-position model. The record is from RNAcentral.